This 738-nucleotide unclassified non-coding RNA is filed under the name Hevea brasiliensis (rubber tree). Lineage: Eukaryota; Viridiplantae; Streptophyta; Magnoliopsida; Malpighiales; Euphorbiaceae. The record is from RNAcentral.
AAAAAAAAAAAAAAAAAAAGGAGUAACACAGAAAAAGAAUGUAUUUUUUGGGCAUGCAAGUAAUUUUAUUUGGAUAAGAAAUGGAAAAUGUAACAUUAUAUCCAUUCCUAUGGUUUUUAUGUUGUAUGAUGUUGUGUUUGAAUUUUACUAUGUUCUUUCUGCAUUGCCAAACUAAUAAAUAAAAUUAUCUGUAAGAGAGAAAUUGAUGUGAGAUUUUGCAGUUAUGCAUUUAGAGCACAUACAGAAUCAACUGAGUGCCUAAACCCCAUGAGGCUGAUGGUAAAGCCAAUCGAGUGGAUGGCCUGUUUUGGAAAAAUGCCAUUAAUGUGAAAAAUUGCUUUCCAUGUAAAAGCAUGUUGUGAACAGCAUAUGGCAUUCCUGUUUCCAUGCACUGUUGCCUGUUGAUGGACAAAAUUCUAUUUUGUUCAUGCAUUUUUUCUGACUUUUUGGAAAUUGUUUUCAUACGAUAUGAAUUUCUUCAACUGCAUUUGAAUCAGUUGAAUAAUAAUUGUUCAAUCAGUUCUUCAAGAAAGUGUGGUUUCUUUAAACCAUUAUCAAGCCGAGAGAAAUUUUUGUGCACACUGGAUAACAAAUUAUGUAGUGAGCUUGCCUAGUGGAACUCUAGUUUUGAAUCAUCCUUCUUUGGGUAUAUGAUGGUGUUGCUCCUUUUAGACAUUGGUUUGGUGAGCUUGGAUGUGCCAAUAAAUAUCAUUUUUCUUGGGGAUUUAAGCUGUAAAA